GCGUAAUGCAGGAAACCAUGGAUUACCACGCCCUAAACGCGAUGCUGAAUCUUUAUGAUAAAGCAGGCCAUAUUCAGUUCGACAAGGACCAGCAGGCGAUCGACGCCUUCUUUGCCGCCCACGUCCGCCCGCAUUCCGUGACGUUUGCCAGCCAGCAUGAACGUCUGGAGACGCUGGUUCGGGAAGGGUAUUACGAUGACGCCGUCCUCGCGCGUUACGACCGCGCCUUCGUCCUUCGCCUGUUCGAGCACGCCCAUGCCAGCGGCUUUCGCUUCCAGACGUUUCUUGGCGCCUGGAAGUUCUAUACCAGUUACACGCUGAAAACCUUCGACGGCAAACGUUAUCUGGAACACUUUGAAGAUCGGGUG
This 368-nucleotide unclassified non-coding RNA is filed under the name uncultured fungus. RNAcentral describes it as "partial internal transcribed spacer 1". Lineage: Eukaryota; Fungi. The record is from RNAcentral.